This 271-nucleotide small RNA is filed under the name Pongo abelii (Sumatran orangutan). RNAcentral's name for it is "retained intron". Lineage: Eukaryota; Metazoa; Chordata; Mammalia; Primates; Hominidae. The record is from RNAcentral.
CCGUGUGGUGUGGGUUAGGUGAGAUGGAAUCGUGGUCCUUCGUGCUGGAGUGCAUAAAGCGUGUGAGUAUGGAACUGAAAUUGACUGUUUCUGCCUGUGUGACAGGUUUGUAAUAUUUUGUUGUUGUUUUGGGGGAAAACCCGUUUUUCUACAGAGAGCCUGUCUCUGGCAGAAGUAGCCAAUGAGCUGGACACGGAGACCCUGCGGAGGCUGAAGCGGGAGUGUGGGGGCCUGCAGACGCUGCUCCGGAACAGCCACCAGGUGUUCCGAG